Molecule: small RNA, 127 nt
Filed under: Marmota monax (woodchuck)
Lineage: Eukaryota; Metazoa; Chordata; Mammalia; Rodentia; Sciuridae
Source: RNAcentral
GCUGGGUGUGGUGGUGCAUGCCUGUAAUCCCAGUGGCUUAGGAGGCUGAGGCAGGAGGAUCACAAGUUCAAAGCCAGCCGCAGCAACUUCGUGAGGCCCUGAGCAACUCAGCAAGACUAUGUCUCUA